GCCUGUUUACUUGUCUUUCUAUAAAAUGACUAAGUAGAGUAGUCGAUAAGACUAAGUAAGAUAGUCGGUAGGAAGUUGCAAACCCAUAAUCGAGUAGAUAGACUUAAAAAAAAUUUUAAGUCAAGUAGUCGAUUUUUGUAGAGCACUUCGUUGGAUUCGAUACGUAGUUGUAGAUCAUUCUGUUGAAUAGUUGUCAGUUAUUUUGGAUCAUUCGAUUCUUAGUCAGUCGGAUGCAAGCCGACUAACUACUCGACCAUCUACUUUGGCCACGUGCAUACCAUAGCUUGUAGGCUUGCGAUC
Molecule: long non-coding RNA, 300 nt
Filed under: Elaeis guineensis (African oil palm)
Lineage: Eukaryota; Viridiplantae; Streptophyta; Magnoliopsida; Arecales; Arecaceae
Description: long non-coding RNA (EGUI_LNC049721)
Source: RNAcentral